GAGCUAAGAUGAUCUACAAGAAACAGUGGCAGAAUGGAGAAUGAUGUCCAAAUAUUUUAGCGUUGAAGUACACGUAUUGUUGGAUAAUGAGCAUUUGAGAGGGCAUCUUCCCAACCCAGAGGUCAACCUGCAUCUCUUGCAUCUCCUGUAUCAGCAUUGGCAAACAGGUUCCUUACCACUAUCACCACCUGGGAAGCCCAGGAAAGCCAGGGAGAGAUCUACAUUGGUGCAGCCAGGAGCUAAUUCUAAGGUGCCAGUGGCAUUUGGAGAUGCAGAGUUUUCAACCUUCAAAGCUACUGAGGUUCUUGAGUAUCUGACUGAACUGUCGGAUACCACAGAGAGACUGCAAGACUGAAAAGUAGCAAUGGCUUUGAUCAUUUGCUGAGAAUUUUAAAUGAACUUGUUAUCAUGCUCAUUUAGACGCUUUGGAAAAUGUAUUAUCGUUUAACCAGUUGAUUUAGGUAAGCUUACUGAAGAGUGCUUCACUUUGCACUUGUUGAACUUAAGGAUUGUUUAUACUUGCUUCCUUGGAACAAACACGUUCAUAGUCCAAAUUAUAAUGUGAUCUUUACUCUUCCUCCCCCUCCCGCCCCACUCUGGUGGUUUCCUACAGUUCAAAUAUGAAGACUUUCUCAUACUUUAGAUUACAAAAUUAUUGUUUACUGGUAAAAAAUGCCAAGGACCAUCCAUUGAUGGCAUCCCAUUGAUAUUCAACCAAAUGAACUCUGGGAGUAGUCUAGCGGAAUCCCAGUAAGUGAGAAAACAAACAUGACUUAUUCAGGAAAACAACAGUCAUUAACAGUGGAACCGAUGAUUACAGGGUGGUAAAACUGCUUUUUUUUUUUUCAGAACAGAUAGGUUAGUUAGAACAAAGUUAGUUAAAGGCUGACAGGCUGAAUUUUCUUGUGGUAAAUGCAGAAAUGGUUGGACAGCAUCACUGAUUCAGUGGACAUGAGUUUGAACAAACUCCAGAAGGUAUUAAAGGACAGGGAAGCCUGGCAUGUUGUAGUCCAUGGGGUCGCGGAGUCAGGCACAACUGAGCGACUGAACAAUAGCUGAGCAAAUGCUGAAACAAUCAGAAGAGCAGCUCUCACCCUUCAAUCCAGAAUAGAAGAGAGGAAGGAAGAUACGGAUGGUUUUCAGUUUUGGCAAAUAAAAUAGAAUAAAAUAUAAUGG
Molecule: long non-coding RNA, 1176 nt
Organism: Bos taurus (domestic cattle)
Lineage: Eukaryota; Metazoa; Chordata; Mammalia; Artiodactyla; Bovidae
Source: Ensembl